Molecule: microRNA precursor, 116 nt
Filed under: Cricetulus griseus (Chinese hamster)
Lineage: Eukaryota; Metazoa; Chordata; Mammalia; Rodentia; Cricetidae
Description: mir-492
Source: RNAcentral
CAGCAGCAACAAGAUUAGCAUUAUCCAUCUGCAUUUUUAUAUAGACAUUGUCCACAGAAUUUGCAAAGAUCUGAGCCCUCAGCUCCUUCAUGGGUUUGUAAUAGUGGUCACAUUCU